AGCAAAGUGAGUUAUAUAACCCCUUUUUAAACAAAUAGACAUAUUGGACUAUGCUUCAGAGUAACAUCUCAUCCAGUCAUUGGCCUAUGCUGACCUUUUCCUUCUCAUCUAGACCAAUUUCUUCUAUACCAGAUCUGAAAGCUGGACCUCUUCCACAUCUUUCAGAAUACUGACUUCAGUUCCUGUUAACACACUUAUCUUUAGACAUCAUGGGACCCAGUCCAGUUGAAAGGUGUGCUUCUGACUUUCUAUAUUUUUCUGGACACCAUAUCUAAGCUUCAGUCUUACUUUGGAACCUUCUUCAGAGAUUGGAGCCUUUUCAUCCUGGAAUAUUCAAUCAUUUCUGUGGUUUCCUCACAGUGGAAUAUCAUCCCGUCAUGUUGGCCCCCUUCACCCUUUGAGUUCUUCCCAAAGGCCCAGUUGCACAAUUAUUAUUGGCUUGCAGCUGUUUUAGGAAGAUGGGUUGAAAGAGCACCCAACUGGAAAGUGGAAGACCUUUGGUUCUUUUCCCAGCACUGUCAUCAAGUAGCUGUGUGACCACUGGCAAAUUAUAGAAUCUUUCUGGGCCUCAGUUUUCUACAAUAAAAUGAGAGGGAGGGUCGGCAAGAUUAGCAUCUCAAUAAAAGUACAUCCAACUAUUUGGCAAGCAGAUCAAGAAUCUAUCUCUCCAAGAUAAGUAUUAACUCAUUCAGAUUUUACUCAUAGUUUCUCAUCUUACUUCUGCAGAUCAUCCUAGUUAUCCUCAGAUCCUCUGAAGGCUCAUAACUCCACUGUACAACUUAUUCCCUGUGACUUCUCACAGUUUCUAUCCUGCUUUUCCCUACCAAAAAUAUCUUCAGACCUUGACUCAACUUAAGACUACUUUUCUCAGAAUUCUCUAACUACCAAUAGUCUGUAUCCAGUAAUAACUAAUAAUCACUGACCAUAGGCUAACUUACCUGGAACAGGUCUUGCAUUAGUUUUGUGGGAUCCUGGGUACCAAAUUGAUAUCACUUCUUUAUUCAACACUGAUUCUAUAUGCUUCAUCCAAAUCCUCUAGUAGUCAUCUGAUGCUUUGUCUGAUUCCUUUGGAUCACCAUUUUUUUCCCUUUUAGGAGUAUGUGUUUGCUACUGCAACCAUCCUCAAGAAUUGUAAUAAAUAGGACUAUGAAAACUCAAUUGGGUGGGAAGUAGUGGAGACCGUGGUUGAGUUAGUGUGAGGAAGAUCCAAGUUUAAAUCCUGCUUUAGAUAGUUAUUAGCUGUGUGCCCCUGAGCAAGUCACAACCUCUCUGUCUUCAUCUGUAAAAUGAGGUAAUAAUAGCACU
This is a long non-coding RNA of Sarcophilus harrisii (Tasmanian devil), 1305 nucleotides long. RefSeq lists it as uncharacterized. Lineage: Eukaryota; Metazoa; Chordata; Mammalia; Dasyuromorphia; Dasyuridae. The transcript has 3 exons. The record is from RefSeq and is a predicted model, not a curated record.